Molecule: ribosomal RNA, 563 nt
Filed under: uncultured fungus
Lineage: Eukaryota; Fungi
Description: eukaryotic LSU rRNA
Rfam family: Eukaryotic large subunit ribosomal RNA
Source: RNAcentral
GGGAUUGCUCUAGUAACGGCGAGUGAAGCAGCAAUAGCUCAAAUUUGAAAUCUGGCGUCUUCGACGUCCGAGUUGUAAUUUGUAGAGGAUGCUUCUGAGUAACCACCGACCUAAGUUCCUUGGAACAGGACGUCAUAGAGGGUGAGAAUCCCGUAUGCGGUCGGAAAGGUGCUCUAUACGUAGCUCCUUCGACGAGUCGAGUUGUUUGGGAAUGCAGCUCUAAAUGGGAGGUAAAUUUCUUCUAAAGCUAAAUAUUGGCCAGAGACCGAUAGCGCACAAGUAGAGUGAUCGAAAGAUGAAAAGCACUUUGGAAAGAGAGUUAAAAAGCACGUGAAAUUGUUAAAAGGGAAGGGAUUGCAACCAGACUUGCUCGCGGUGUUCCGCCGGUCUUCUGACCGGUCUACUCGCCGCGUUGCAGGCCAGCAUCGUCUGGUGCCGCUGGAUAAGACUUGAGGAAUGUAGCUCCCUCGGGAGUGUUAUAGCCUCUUGUGAUGCAGCGAGCGCCGGGCGAGGUCCGCGCUUCGGCUAGGAUGCUGGCGUAAUGGUCGUAAUCCGCCCGUCUU